AUUGAACGCUGGCGGCAUGCCUUACACAUGCAAGUCGAACGGCAGCACGGACUUCGGUCUGGUGGCGAGUGGCGAACGGGUGAGUAAUGUAUCGGAACGUACCUUUCAGUGGGGGAUAACGUAGCGAAAGUUACGCUAAUACCGCAUAUUCUGUGAGCAGGAAAGCAGGGGAUCGAAAGACCUUGCGCUGUUUGAGCGGCCGAUAUCAGAUUAGCUAGUUGGUGGGGUAAAGGCCUACCAAGGCGACGAUCUGUAGCGGGUCUGAGAGGAUGAUCCGCCACACUGGAACUGGUCCACGGUCCAGACUCCUGCGGGAGGCAGCAGUGGGGAAUUUUGGACAAUGGGGGCAAUCCUGAUCCAGCCAUGCCGCGUAAGUGGAGAAGGCCUUCGGGUUGUAAAGCUCUUUCGGCCGGGAAGAAAUCUCAUAGGCUAAUACCCUGUGUGGAUGACGGUACCGGAAGAAGAAGCACCGGCUAACUACGUG
This 484-nucleotide ribosomal RNA is filed under the name uncultured bacterium. RNAcentral describes it as "partial 16S ribosomal RNA". It matches the Rfam family "Bacterial small subunit ribosomal RNA", at positions 30 to 507 of the family's 1533-position model. The record is from RNAcentral.